RNAcentral lists this ribosomal RNA (468 nucleotides) under uncultured bacterium. Its description in RNAcentral is "partial 16S ribosomal RNA". It matches the Rfam family "Bacterial small subunit ribosomal RNA", at positions 28 to 507 of the family's 1533-position model. The record is from RNAcentral.
GACGAACGCUGGCGGCGUGCUUAACACAUGCAAGUCGAACGGAAAGGCCCUGCUUUUGUGGGGUGCUCGAGUGGCGAACGGGUGAGUAACACGUGAGUAACCUGCCCUUGACUUUGGGAUAACUUCAGGAAACUGGGGCUAAUACCGGAUAGGAGCUCCUGCUGCAUGGUGGGGGUUGGAAAGUUUCGGCGGGUGGGGAUGGACUCGCGGCUUAUCAGCUUGUUGGUGGGGUAGUGGCUUACCAAGGCUUUGACGGGUAGCCGGCCUGAGAGGGUGACCGGCCACCUUGGGACUGCGAUACGGCCCAGACGCCUACGGGGGGCAGCAGUGGGGAAUAUUGCACAAUGGGCGGACGCCUGAUGCAGCAGCGCCGCGUGCGGGAUGACGGCCUUCGGGUUGUAAACCGAUUUCGCCUGUGACGAAGCGUGAGUGACGGUAAUGGGUAAAGAAGCACCGGCUAACUACGUG